This 488-nucleotide ribosomal RNA is filed under the name uncultured archaeon. RNAcentral describes it as "bacterial SSU rRNA". It matches the Rfam family "Archaeal small subunit ribosomal RNA", at positions 166 to 656 of the family's 1478-position model. The record is from RNAcentral.
ACUUCUGGAAUGGGUAAUGACUCAAACCUAUAUGGCCCCUGGAUUGGACUGCCGCCGAUCAGGCUGUUGGUGAGGUAAUGGCCCACCAAACCUGUAACCGGUACGGGCUCUGAGAGGAGGAGCCCGGAGAUGGGCACUGAGACAAGGGCCCAGGCCCUAUGGGGCGCAGCAGGCGCGAAACCUCUGCAAUAGGCGAAAGCCUGACUGGGUUACUCUGAGUGAUCUCCGUUAAGGAGAUCUUUUGGCACCUCUAAAAAUGGUGCAUAAUAAGGGGUGGGCAAGUCUGGUGUCAGCCGCCGCGGUAAUACCAUCACCCCGAGUGGUCGGGACGUUAAUUGGGCCUAAAGCAUCCGUAACCGGUUCUACAAGUCUUCCGUUAAAUCCAGCUGCUUAACAGAUGGGCUGCGGAAGAUACUAUGGAGCUAGGAGGCGGGAGAGGCAAGCGGUACUCGAUGGGAAGGGGUAAAAAUCCGUUGAUCCAUUGAAAA